Molecule: long non-coding RNA, 518 nt
Filed under: Phoenix dactylifera (date palm)
Lineage: Eukaryota; Viridiplantae; Streptophyta; Magnoliopsida; Arecales; Arecaceae
Description: long non-coding RNA (PDAC_LNC022584)
Source: RNAcentral
AAUGCGAGGGCUACAUAAGUUUAAAGUAGUGGAAAUUGAUGAGGCUCAAGGCUAGACUUCAAGUAACCACUGAUAACAAACUAUUUUGGUGAUUUCUUCCAUGAAAAAUUUUCAUUUGUUAGAUAAAUAGCUAUUAUUGUAACUCUUAAUAUUAAGAAAGCAGAAAUAGGUGCUUGUAUAUGAUAGCAAAGUACCAAACAGAAUAAUGAUUAAUUUUUUUCCCCUAUGAAGAGAAAAGAGCACCGUUAAGUUCAUUCCAAGAGUUCUAUUAACAAAUCUUUCAAAAUGUGAAUAUGUUAAGCUCAAAAUCACAUGGUCCAAUAAUUCAAUAGAUAGAAGAAGUUGGAAGGAAGGCAUGGCGGUGGCACCCCCACUGAUGUCCCCACAUUGCUGAGACCGAGAGGUUUUAAUUUUGGUAAUAAAACCCAGUCAAAUGGGGGUAGUAAACUAAAGGGAAGCAUAAACAUAAAGUAAUAUUUUUUUGUAUUGCUAGUUGUUACACUUCUAAAAAUUCUAAA